RNAcentral lists this long non-coding RNA (1011 nucleotides) under Triticum aestivum (bread wheat). RNAcentral describes it as "long non-coding RNA (TAES_LNC028666)". The record is from RNAcentral. Lineage: Eukaryota; Viridiplantae; Streptophyta; Magnoliopsida; Poales; Poaceae.
AAAAACAUGAAAUUUCAUUUUACAUUUGUUACAAAGUGGUACUUCUAAAACUGUCAUAAAAGUGGUAAGCUUACAGCUUGAUGAAUUGAGUGAUGAUAGUAUCACCAAGGCGUCAUGAAAGACAAAAAAAAUGUACAUGUCUUACUGCUCGUUUACAAAACUGUUUCAGCUGUUUCCGGACAUUGUUUACAGCUGAAGGUCUUGGAAGAAACUAUCACUAGACCAGAAGAGAAAAAAAAGAUAACUCUAUCGGUAAGGAAACAUUUUUCCCAUGGAAGUAUUCCUUUGAGUUGAAUCUUGCAGUGCAACUUCCCUUGAAGGUGACAGUAUUAAUGAGACCCUUGAGAAUAGAAAGAAGAAAUAUGUUAAUUGGAAAUACAGGUGCAGAACAUUUCAUCAUUCAGAUUCUUUUGGGUGAACCCUGUUACACUAACUAAUAGGAAUAAUGAUACCCUUGAGAAUAGAAAGAAGAAACAUGUUAAUUGGGAAUACAGGUGCAAAACAUUUGAUCAAUGGGUUUCUUAGGGUGAACCUUGUUACACUAACUAACAGGAACUGCUGAUUUCAGAAGUUACCUAAGGUGACUACAUAUGCAGAAUGAGUAAAGAUUGGCACUCAAAGCUUCACUUGAAUAUGCGGAAACCCUGUUGAAACAUAUACAGGAUUAGAAGAAAUUAAUUUCACUGUUCCGUAUGAAAGAACAGGCUCUAAGAAAAUAACAUCUCGUUUCUGUCCUUGGGAGACAAAUAAAUAGAGAACUUACAUGUCUCUGCAGGAAAGAAGUUACUAACGGCAGCUGAAUUUCAUUGUCCUUGCAAGUUACAAUCUCAAAAAGGAAUUUUUGGCGUAGAGCUUGUAAAUCAUCCUACAAUAUUUUAGAAAAAGUGCAGUUUAAUUCCUGAUAUGUUCCAAUUAAUGACAAAAAAGGAGAAUUAUGUCUAUCGCUUACAUUAGAGAACCCCUCCAAUCCGAGACCUUUGUACUUGCUAAAAAAUGAACAUUUAACUGGGG